Sus scrofa (pig) is the source of this 2389-nucleotide non-coding RNA. Lineage: Eukaryota; Metazoa; Chordata; Mammalia; Artiodactyla; Suidae. The record is from RefSeq and is a predicted model, not a curated record.
CUCUGGUUACCGGGUUGUGGGUGGUGUCAGGACGGUGCAGGCGCAAUGAGCGGCGGAAGUAGUUACUGGGAAGUAAGCAAGCGGCAGUUUCCCUUGGCGUAAGGCUCCUCCUCCCGCCGCGGGUUGCUUCACUGCACGUGUGCCCGGGCUCCGCCCCACACUGCCAGUGCUUUGGCCGCUUGGGCGCCUCCUCCCGCGCAGAGAUGGCGCACGACCCCGCAGAAUCAUAGCAAGUGCUGUUGUCAGUGGCCUUCUAAUCCAGGACUGCCAUAUUGCAAGAACACAUGGGCCCCAAAGCAAAAUCUGAAUAGAUUCAGCCAGUGAAAAAGGUGAUUUUUGAAGAAUGAUCAAGAAUUCUUGCAAGACACUUAAGACUGUUUUACAGAGGAGUAUUGUAACCGAGAAUUUAUAAUAACAGCAUCUCAGACAUGUUGAAAAAGAUGUUUUGAUCCCUAAAAUUAUGAGAGAAAAGGCCCGAGAGAGGUGCUCUGAACAAGUUCAAGAUUUCACUAAAUGCUGCAAGGACUCUGGAAUCCUUAUGGUAGUAAAAUGCCGGAAAGAAAAUUCUGCAUUGAAAGACUGUCUAACUGCUUACUAUAAUGAUCCAGCCUUUUAUGAAGAAUGCAAAAUGGAAUAUCUGAAGGAAAGGGAAGAAUUCAGAAAAACUGGGAUUCCUACCAAGAAAAGACUACAGAAGCUUCCCACAAGCAUGUAGGCGAAGUCAAAUGAUACUCAGGAACCCUAAUAUCCAUGGAAAUCACAGUCACCUGAAAUAACGGACUUAAGGAAGUGUUUGCUUUACCCUUAAUUACGGAAAUAAUUUUAUCUGAAAUAAAGUUCUUGCAAACUUCAAAGUUAAGUUUAUUAAAUAGGAUAGGAGUAAGUAGUAAAAUGGGAUGUGGUCUGCUUGGUCAUUAUGGAUUUUCCAUUAACUUUUGCACAACUGUGGUUCUGUAACAGUGACAGCUGAUUUCUUAAGUUUCCACAUGACUCUUACCUUACUCUCCUCAUGUGGCCAGCAUUUACUAAAGCAAAGCAGGAAUGGACAGCCUUCAGAGGUGUAGUAACUUGGCAGUAUAGCAUAAUGGUUAUGAACCUACCAUUUAUUAGUUAAGCAACUGUGGAUAUGUCUCAUAGUUACCAUGAGUAUUAACCAAGUACUGCAGGUAAGUAGAGUAGGUAGGACAGUGCCUUGCACAUGGUAAGUGCUCUUUGUAGUUAUUAUCAGUAGUAGUAUGAGUAUAGUAUUUUUAAUGGCCACAUCUGCAGCAUGUGGAAGUUCCUGGACUAGGGGUUGAAUCAGAACUGCAGCUGAGGCCUAUGCCACAGCCGCAGCAACACCAGAUCCGAGCUGCAUUUUUGACCUACAGCACCUUAACCCACUGAGCAAGGCCAGGGAUCAAACCCACAUCCUCAGGGAGAGUCAGGUCCUUAACCUGCUGAGCCACAGCAGAAACUCCUUUAUGGUUAUCAUUAGUAGUGAAGGCUUAUUUGGAAACAUAGAUGAAUUAGUUUUACUUAUGUCUUUAAUGGAAAUUUUCCUAAAAUGGAUUAUUAUAUUCCUGGAGUUCCUGUCGUGGCUCAGUGGAAAUGAACCUAACUAGUAUCCAUGAGGAUGCUUGCUCGAUCUCUGGCCUCGCUCAGUGGGUUAAGGAUCCGGCACUGCUGCGAGCUGUGGUGUAGGUCACAGGCAUGGCUCAGAUGCCGAGUUGCUGUGGCUGUGGUGUAAGCCAGCAGCUGUAGCUCUGAUUCGACCCUAGCCUGGGAGCUUCCAUAUACCGUGCAUGUGGCCCUAAAAAGCAAAAAAAAAGUAUCAUUACAUUCCUUUACCUGUUAACUUGGCUACCAGAAGUAUUUUAAACUGUUUAUCUAUAUCCUUUUAAAAGUCUUCUUUAUAAGUAUGAAUGACUGUUUUGGUACAUAGUAAUGGUCUCAAGAACUAGUGUAAAAAAUUUCUGUCCCAAUGUGGUAAUUUGGUCCCAGGUUAAGCUUUUAUAUUAAAAGUUGCUUUUUUUUUUCCUCCUAUGAGCUGUUAACACUUCACUAUAGCCAUUGCAACUAGUUUCCAGGAGAUGGCAGUCCCCUGAGUCAGCUGUGUUCAUUGGUCAGAAUAAAUUCCAGCAUCUGACACCAACUCCAUUAAUCACAGACAAGCUUGAAUAAGUGAGUAAGAUAAUAGAAAGACAAAAAUAUCUGGUGAACAGUGAACAGUUUAUAUAUGUAUGAUGUUCAGUUAAUACAGAGAUCUGAAAUACUCUUUUGAGUCCAAGGUGUUUGAAACUCCAUCAAAAAGGAUAAGGGCCUUCUGCAUGGAACCCUUCAUCUCGGGCAAAAGAUGAAGGAACUGAGAAACAGAUUACUAAUAAUCUUAAUACGCCCCCCGAAAGAA